UUGCAGAAUCCCGUGAACCAUCGAGUUUUUGAACGCAAGUUGCGCCCGAAGCCAUUAGGUCAAGGCGUCUGCCUGGGCGUCACAC
This 85-nucleotide ribosomal RNA is filed under the name Sambucus sieboldiana (Japanese elderberry). Its description in RNAcentral is "Sambucus racemosa subsp. sieboldiana (Japanese elderberry) partial 5.8S rDNA". Lineage: Eukaryota; Viridiplantae; Streptophyta; Magnoliopsida; Dipsacales; Adoxaceae. The record is from RNAcentral.